AAUAAGAUGCCUGAACUAAUAGGACUAUUUUGAUAGAAUAGAAUAUGUAAGUAUUUACUCUUAUUA
Molecule: transfer RNA, 66 nt
Filed under: Dinorhynchus dybowskyi
Lineage: Eukaryota; Metazoa; Arthropoda; Insecta; Hemiptera; Pentatomidae
Description: tRNA-Ile
Source: RNAcentral